This 498-nucleotide ribosomal RNA is filed under the name uncultured bacterium. RNAcentral describes it as "partial 16S ribosomal RNA". It matches the Rfam family "Bacterial small subunit ribosomal RNA", at positions 28 to 507 of the family's 1533-position model. The record is from RNAcentral.
GACGAACGCUGGCGGCGUGCCUAAUACGUGCAAGUCGAGCGGACGGAUGGGAGCUUGCUCCCAGACCGUCAGCGGCGGACGGGUGAGUAACACGUGGGCAACCUGCCUGUAAGACUGGGAUAACUCCGGGAAACCGGGGCUAAUACCGGAUAACUCUUUCCCUCACAUGAGGGAAAGCUGAAAGAUGGCAUCUCGCUAUCACUUACAGAUGGGCCCGCGGCGCAUUAGCUAGUUGGUGAGGUAACGGCUCACCAAGGCGACGAUGCGUAGCCGACCUGAGAGGGUGAUCGGCCACACUGGGACUGAGACACGGCCCAGACUCCUACGGGAGGCAGCAGUAGGGAAUCUUCCGCAAUGGACGAAAGUCUGACGGAGCAACGCCGCGUGAGUGAUGAAGGUUUUCGGAUCGUAAAACUCUGUUGUCAGGGAAGAACAAGUACCGGAGUAACUGCCGGUACCUUGACGGUACCUGACCAGAAAGCCACGGCUAACUACGUG